Molecule: ribosomal RNA, 253 nt
Filed under: uncultured bacterium
Lineage: Bacteria
Description: partial 16S ribosomal RNA
Rfam family: Bacterial small subunit ribosomal RNA
Source: RNAcentral
UACGAAGGGGGCUAGCGUUGUUCGGAAUCACUGGGCGUAAAGGGUGCGCAGGCGGAUUUUUAAGUCAGGGGUGAAAUCCCGAGGCUCAACCUCGGAACUGCCUUUGAUACUGUGGAUCUUGAGUCCGGGAGAGGUGAGUGGAACUGCGAGUGUAGAGGUGAAAUUCGUAGAUAUUCGCAAGAACACCAGUGGCGAAGGCGGCUCACUGGCCCGGAACUGACGCUGAGGCGCGAAAGCGUGGGGAGCAAACAGG